Molecule: ribosomal RNA, 563 nt
Filed under: uncultured bacterium
Lineage: Bacteria
Description: bacterial SSU rRNA
Rfam family: Bacterial small subunit ribosomal RNA
Source: RNAcentral
CCUACGGGAGGCAGCAGUGGGGAAUUUUCCGCAAUGGGCGAAAGCCUGACGGAGCAACGCCGCGUGAGGGAUGAAGGCCUCUGGGCUGUAAACCUCUUUUAUCAAGGAAGAAGAUCUGACGGUACUUGAUGAAUAAGCCACGGCUAAUUCCGUGCCAGCAGCCGCGGUAAUACGGGAGUGGCAAGCGUUAUCCGGAAUUAUUGGGCGUAAAGCGUCCGCAGGCGGUCUUGUAAGUCUGUCGUUAAAGCGUGGAGCUCAACUCCAUUUCGGCGGUGGAAACUACAAGACUAGAGUGUGGUAGGGGCAGAGGGAAUUCCCGGUGUAGCGGUGAAAUGCGUAGAUAUCGGGAAGAACACCAGUGGCGAAGGCGCUCUGCUGGGCCAUAACUGACGCUCAUGGACGAAAGCUAGGGGAGCGAAAGGGGAUUAGAUACCCCUGUAGUCCUAGCCGUAAACGAUGAACACUAGGUGUCGGGGGAAUCGACCCCCUCGGUGUCGUAGCUAACGCGUUAAGUGUUCCGCCUGGGGAGUACGCACGCAAGUGUGAACUUAAGGAAUUGACGG